GACGAACCGUGCGAACGUUGUUCGGAAUCACUGGGCUUAAAGGGCGCGUAGGCGGGCGGGCAAGUCAGGGGUGAAAUCCCACGGCUCAACCGUGGAAGUGCCCUUGAUACUGCCGGUCUCGAGGGAGGUAGGGGCGUGCGGAACUUCCGGUGGAGCGGUGAAAUGCGUAGAUAUCGGAAGGAACACCGGUGGCGAAAGCGGCGCGCUGGAUCUCUACUGACGCUGAGGAGCGAAAGCCAGGGGAGCAAACGGG
Molecule: ribosomal RNA, 253 nt
Filed under: uncultured bacterium
Lineage: Bacteria
Description: partial 16S ribosomal RNA
Rfam family: Bacterial small subunit ribosomal RNA
Source: RNAcentral